CCUACGGGAGGCAGCAGUGAGGAAUAUUGGUCAAUGGACGAGAGUCUGAACCAGCCAAGUAGCGUGAAGGAUGACUGCCCUAUGGGUUGUAAACUUCUUUUAUAUGGGAAUAAAACGUUCCACGUGUGGGAUUUUGUAUGUACCAUUUGAAUAAGGAUCGGCUAACUCUGUGCCAGCAGCCGCGGUAAUACGGAGGAUCCGAGCGUUAUCCGGAUUUAUUGGGUUUAAAGGGAGCGUAGGUGGAUUGUUAAGUCAGUUGUGAAAGUUUGCGGCUCAACCGUAAAAUUGCAGUUGAAACUGGCAGUCUUGAGUACAGUAGAGGUGGGCGGAAUUCGUGGUGUAGCGGUGAAAUGCUUAGAUAUCACGAAGAACUCCGAUUGCGAAGGCAGUUCACUGGACUGCAACUGACACUGAGGCUCGAAAGUGUGGGUAUCAAACAGGAUUAGAUACCCCAGUAGUC
This 460-nucleotide ribosomal RNA is filed under the name uncultured bacterium. Its description in RNAcentral is "partial 16S ribosomal RNA". It matches the Rfam family "Bacterial small subunit ribosomal RNA", at positions 338 to 795 of the family's 1533-position model. The record is from RNAcentral.